CCUGGGAAACUGGGUCUAAUACCGGAUAUGACCUUCCAUCGCAUGGUGGUUGGUGGAAAGCUUUUGUGGUUUUGGAUGGACUCGCGGCCUAUCAGCUUGUUGGUGGGGUAAUGGCCUACCAAGGCGACGACGGGUAGCCGGCCUGAGAGGGUGACCGGCCACACUGGGACUGAGACACGGCCCAGACUCCUACGGGAGGCAGCAGUGGGGAAUAUUGCACAAUGGGCGCAAGCCUGAUGCAGCGACGCCGCGUGAGGGAUGACGGCCUUCGGGUUGUAAACCUCUUUCAGUAGGGAAGAAGCGAAAGUGACGGUACCUGCAGAAGAAGCGCCGGCUAACUACGUGCCAGCAGCCGCGGUAAUACGUAGGGCGCAAGCGUUAUCCGGAAUUAUUGGGCGUAAAGAGCUCGUAGGCGGUUUGUCGCGUCUGCCGUGAAAGUCCGGGGCUCAACUCCGGAUCUGCGGUGGGUACGGGCAGACUAGAGUGAUGUAGGGGAGACUGGAAUUCCUGGUGUAGCGGUGAAAUGCGCAGAUAUCAGGAGGAACACCGAUGGCGAAGGCAGGUCUCUGGGCAUUAACUGACGCUGAGGAGCGAAAGCAUGGGGAGCGAACAGGAUUAGAUACCCUGGUAGUCCAUGCCGUAAACGUUGGGCACUAGGUGUGGGGGACAUUCCACGUUUUCCGCGCCGUAGCUAACGCAUUAAGUGCCCCGCCUGGGGAGUACGGCCGCAAGGCUAAAACUCAAAGGAAUUGACGGGGGCCCGCACAAGCGGCGGAGCAUGCGGAUUAAUUCGAUGCAACGCGAAGAACCUUACCAAGGCUUGACAUGAACCGGUAACGCCUGGAAACAGGUGCCCCGCUUGCGGUCGGUUUACAGGUGGUGCAUGGUUGUCGUCAGCUCGUGUCGUGAGAUGUUGGGUUAAGUCCCGCAACGAGCGCAACCCUCGUUCUAUGUUGCCAGCACGUGAUGGUGGGGACUCAUAGGAGACUGCCGGGGUCAACUCGGAGGAAGGUGGGGACGACGUCAAAUCAUCAUGCCCCUUAUGUCUUGGGCUUCACGCAUGCUACAAUGGCCGGUACAAAGGGUUGCGAUACUGUGAGGUGGAGCCAAUCCCAAAAAG
Molecule: ribosomal RNA, 1120 nt
Filed under: Arthrobacter sp. YNb-4
Lineage: Bacteria; Bacillati; Actinomycetota; Actinomycetes; Micrococcales; Micrococcaceae
Description: bacterial SSU rRNA
Rfam family: Bacterial small subunit ribosomal RNA
Source: RNAcentral